This 450-nucleotide ribosomal RNA is filed under the name Triticum aestivum (bread wheat). RNAcentral describes it as "partial small subunit ribosomal RNA". Lineage: Eukaryota; Viridiplantae; Streptophyta; Magnoliopsida; Poales; Poaceae. The record is from RNAcentral.
AUGCCAAGAGCUGCACCAACCCCACCGUCCGCCGCUGGAUGGCAGAUCUCAAGACCUCUGCCUACCAAGCCGACCAUGUCCUCGAAAACUUCCGCUAUGCGGCGCUGUGCCGAUGACCACAUCCGCGGCCCCUCCUCCGAAAUGGAGCAUGAUAAGCAAGCGGAGAAGGAUUAUGAAGAGGAGGAAGAGAAUGGGGAGGACGAGGAUGAGCAAGAUACUCUGUUUGAGGAGGAGAAAGAUUCUUCUCAUUUUGAUGUCAAAGCGCUAAGUGUUAUGCUAUGCAAAAUUGCAUUGUUUGGCUGUCAACGUUCAAUAUUUUUGUUGUAUAAAGUUCAAAGGAGGAGCUGUCCAAAAUUCAAAAGCCAUGAUGUUCAAUUCUUUCUUAGUCAUAUAUAUUUGUUCCAUUUCUACAUUUUUCAUAGAAGAAAGCUUAUUUUUUCAUCACUAUGA